RNAcentral lists this ribosomal RNA (465 nucleotides) under uncultured bacterium. RNAcentral describes it as "bacterial SSU rRNA". It matches the Rfam family "Bacterial small subunit ribosomal RNA", at positions 917 to 1382 of the family's 1533-position model. The record is from RNAcentral.
GGACCCGCACAAGCGGUGGAUGAUGUGGUUUAAUUCGAUGCAACGCGAAAAACCUUACCCACCUUUGACAUGUAUGGAAGAUCGCAGAGACGCGAUUGUGCUCGAAAGAGAGCCAUAACACAGGUGCUGCAUGGCUGUCGUCAGCUCGUGUCGUGAGAUGUUGGGUUAAGUCCCGCAACGAGCGCAACCCUUGUCAUUAGUUGCUACAUUUAGUUGGGCACUCUAAUGAGACUGCCGGUGACAAACCGGAGGAAGGUGGGGAUGACGUCAAGUCCUCAUGGCCCUUAUAGGUGGGGCUACACACGUCAUACAAUGGCUGGUACAAAGGGUUGCCAACCCGCGAGGGGGAGCUAAUCCCAUAAAGCCAGUCGUAGUCCGGAUCGUAGUCUGCAACUCGACUACGUGAAGUCGGAAUCGCUAGUAAUCGUGGAUCAGAAUGUCACGGUGAAUACGUUCCCGGGUCUU